This 76-nucleotide transfer RNA is filed under the name Oscillospiraceae bacterium. Its description in RNAcentral is "tRNA-Ala". It matches the Rfam family "tRNA". From Rfam's summary of the family: Transfer RNA (tRNA) molecules are approximately 80 nucleotides in length. Their secondary structure includes four short double-helical elements and three loops (D, anti-codon, and T loops). The record is from RNAcentral. Lineage: Bacteria; Bacillati; Bacillota; Clostridia; Eubacteriales; Oscillospiraceae.
GGGGGUGUAGCUCAGCUGGGAGAGCCCCUGCUUUGCAAGCAGGGGGUCAGCGGUUCGAUCCCGCUCAUCUCCACCA